GAAGAUUCUCUGGAGUGGCGGCCGACGGAGGAGCGAGAAUGGGGAGGGGAAUCCAUGGGGCUAGUGAGAACAGGAGUAGAGUGAAACGAGGUCGUAGUCUUCUCCCCAUCGUGAGAGUCUCUGGAAGGGCUCUGGACGUAGUAGACCGGGCGGCGAGGAGAUCUGGUCGGAGAAGACGGGGCGAUACUGGUAACUUCGGAGUCGGUUUUAGCGUGCAUUGUUGGAGUUUUCCGGUGGAGCUCUCUGCCGUUUUGGAGAAGGAUUUUGGAAUAGUGUAGAAUGGAAGUUGCAGUGAGUUGAAUCAAGAGAGUGAAAGUGGA
RNAcentral lists this unclassified non-coding RNA (320 nucleotides) under Hevea brasiliensis (rubber tree). The record is from RNAcentral. Lineage: Eukaryota; Viridiplantae; Streptophyta; Magnoliopsida; Malpighiales; Euphorbiaceae.